UACGGAGGGGGCUAGCGUUGUUCGGAAUUACUGGGCGUAAAGCGCACGUAGGCGGACUGGAAAGUCAGAGGUGAAAUCCCAGGGCUCAACCUUGGAACUGCCUUUGAAACUCCCGGUCUUGAGGUCGAGAGAGGUGAGUGGAAUUCCGAGUGUAGAGGUGAAAUUCGUAGAUAUUCGGAGGAACACCAGUGGCGAAGGCGGCUCACUGGCUCGAUACUGACGCUGAGGUGCGAAAGCGUGGGGAGCAAACAGG
RNAcentral lists this ribosomal RNA (253 nucleotides) under uncultured bacterium. RNAcentral's name for it is "partial 16S ribosomal RNA". It matches the Rfam family "Bacterial small subunit ribosomal RNA", at positions 524 to 776 of the family's 1533-position model. The record is from RNAcentral.